This 253-nucleotide ribosomal RNA is filed under the name uncultured bacterium. RNAcentral describes it as "partial 16S ribosomal RNA". It matches the Rfam family "Bacterial small subunit ribosomal RNA", at positions 524 to 776 of the family's 1533-position model. The record is from RNAcentral.
UACAGAGGUCUCAAGCGUUGUUCGGAUUCAUUGGGCGUAAAGGGUGCGUAGGUGGCGAGGUAAGUCGGAUGUGAAAUCCCGGGGCUCAACCCUGGAACUGCAUUCGAUACUGCCCUGCUAGAGUACUGGAGAGGAGAUUGGAAUUUACGGUGUAGCAGUGAAAUGCGUAGAUAUCGUAAGGAAGACCAGUGGCGAAGGCGGAUCUCUGGACAGUUACUGACACUGAGGCGCGAAAGCGUGGGGAGCAAACAGG